Molecule: long non-coding RNA, 2969 nt
Organism: Mesocricetus auratus (golden hamster)
Lineage: Eukaryota; Metazoa; Chordata; Mammalia; Rodentia; Cricetidae
Exons: 2
Source: RefSeq, a predicted model, not a curated record
GCACCGAAGAGCUCCCCAGGUUCAAGGUGACAGCGUCUCUCCGCUUGGCUUCCAGCACAGUGUAGACAUUGAGAAUCCGGAUGUUGCCUCGCAGAGGAAGGGACUGUCACACCCACCAUAGUGGACUCCUUGAAGCUAAGCCUCUGCCCCAGUAAGACCCCUGAUCCACCCCAACUAAUCUCAUGGUCUUCCACAGUCUGAAGGGCUUAGAAGAUCAGGCUUGGGCUGAGGAUAUGGCUCAGUUGGUAGAGCGCUUGCCUAGCAUGCAUGAAGCCCAGGGUUUGGUCUCCAGUGCUACAUCAACUGGGCAUGGGAGUGCACACCUGUGAUCCACGCUUUUGGAGGCAAAGGCAGGAGGAUCCGAAGUUCAAGGUCAUCCUCAGCUAUAAAUGAACUUGUCUACUCCAGACCCUGCCGCAAAGCAAACAGGCUGGAGUUGAGCUCAUCUGGACCCAGUGCUCUUUCUGCCUCUCUGUGGCUUCAGGCAAGUCCCAGGAUCUCUGGGGCCUCCAUCUCUUCAUUUCUACCGACACCUGCUGCAGCUCCUCAGCCCUCGGUGCCUUCCGAUGGAUCACGGGCCGCUCAGCCCGCACCUCCUGGCAAUCAUCACAACAGCCUUCUGCGGCUUUGUUACUGAGAGGAGAACAAGAGAAGUAAAUGUUCCUAGUUACUGAAGAAGACGUUGGUAAAAGGAAACCAGGAGGCAGAAAAUUCACAAUCCAUCGGUAGGAGCUUCACCCACUUCCCGUUUGGAGGAGAAGAAGAGGGAGGCUGGGAAAGCCCACUACUCACUAGUAACUACCAAUGAGAUUCAGUACAGGACCAAAAAUAGAAGCCUUCCCAGGAAAGUGUUUCACAGUGCCACGCCAAAGAGGAAAGAAAAAAGAAUUAACAUAGGGAAGCCAUUUAAAGCAGGAAAAAUAUUUGUAUGUAAAGGGAAAUAUUUUAGGCAGGAGUUGAAUGCCAAAUGAUUUUGGGUCUCUGUAGGGAGUAAUGAGGCAUAGACACACAAUGCUGUAUGCAUGUGAUAUUAUCUUCGACCGCCUUGGAAAGCUCUUAAAUCACGAAGAUGCAGUUAGGGACCAUUGUACAAAAUAAACAUCCCACUUGGUGUCCCGCCUGCCCCUAAGUUCCCUGAUCUAGAGCAGCACUGGCAGAUUUUUACAGCCCUGUAAAUUAACGUGGUGCUGAUUUGAUUGAGCUAAAUUAAUAAGACUUGUGCUUUGUUGCAAAAUAACUAUUACAGUAUGUUGUGAGGACGCGCUGCCGAUAAGGAAAUUGCCGCCUUUAACAAUCCCACUGAAGUUUCAUGGAGGAUUUCAAAACCGAUUUUAAUUAAAACAAAAGCCGAUGUGUGGUAAUAAUGUGGAUGUUAAGGAUAGAAAAUGUGAAAUGCCUUUUUAAAUCCAUUUUAAUAUGUCUUAAGGACUGGAUGAUGAAUGGGCUAGGAGCCUGCGGCUGACAUCGAGCCGGGAGGCUGCCUGGGCAACUAGCUUGAGUGACUUCAGCACCCGGCACACCCGCAGGGCCUGUGCCACGGCUCAGCUUCUGGGCUGGGGUGGCCUCCCAAGGUGGAGCUGCAGGGGGAUGACCCUUUUCACAGUCCCGAUGACCUUGGCACCUGGUUCUCCUGGCUUCGUUGACUGUGCCACAGGCCAAUGGGCCUGCAGUCCUCUGGAGGCCCUGUCUAAAGACUUUCCAAAACGCUUAAGUCACCACAGGGACCUCAGAGGCACAGGGUUUGAAAUGAGCAGCCAAUGGCAUAUGGGAGCAGGAGGAAGGCUGUGUCCUGAAGCGCAGGGGUCAGUGAAGAAACCCUGGCAUACGCAGCAGAGGCCUGGAUCCACAGUGAAGAUUGCGCUGAGACUCAGUGCCAAAGCCACUGUGUGUCCCGGGUGAGGGGAGACCUCAGACUUUGAAGAGGCACGCCUUCGAGACCCACUCUUAACUCUUAAGUCUCAGGCUCCUAUGAUCUCGGUGUCCUCGGCUGUAAAAUGAGAACAAUGAUCGGAUUUACUGCACACAGCUGGCGUGAGGAUUAACAAGCUGAAAACAAAAAGGCCAGGACAUUCCAGAGCCUGUUCCAUAAUGUGGAGUUCUAUGUCUUUGAUGCACCUUCCUUCAAUGGGUAAAUGGAACUCCUCUCCCUGAGUGGGGGCCUGCUCCAGUCACAUGUUGCCCAUGGUCAGAAUAAAGUGGAAGUGGUGAUGGUGACCUCGGAAACUGGGCUGUAAAAGGCACAGAGUCUCCUUUAUUUUUAUUUUGGAUCUUUUGUCCUGGGGGAAGCCAGUCUUUGUGCACACUCAAGCUGGAGAUACUGCCCCAGGAUGAAGGAUCCCACAUACACAAAGGAGAAACAACCUCCUUUUCUUCCUUUACUAAACAGCAUUCCCAUGGAAACCUGACCUGGGUGCUUAGCAAUGACCAAGGCGGCCUUCUCUUCACCUGGACACCUGGCCUUCCAGUCCUCAUGUUUGAAAUCACUCAAUAAGAAGCACUGGCCUAGAGGGGCUUCCCUCUGUGGUGAUUAGCAGUUAAUGCAGAGUGUUACUGUCCAGGCUCUGAGAAUACAUGUCUGUUGAGUGCUCAGCCCUAAAUGGGACAUCUAUAUCUACUUCCCCACCCCAAGCCUCAGGGGACAUUGAGGAAGAGGGACAGAGAGAACAUAAGAGCCAGAGGAUGGGGAGGAUGCUGUGAAAUGCUAAUCUGGGGACAUGGCAUGGACAUUGUACCCACGAACUCACCGUAGCCCAAGAUCAAACCCAUGAAAUCAGCCAACAUUCCAACCAGCAGCAGUAAUUGGACACAGUGGCUUAUCCAUUAAAAAAGGAGAGGACUUGAGGUGGGUGUGGGAUAUGUUGGGGUUCCUGGUGGGGAGAAGAAGGGAGAAUUUGGAGAUGGAUAUGAUGAAGACACGUUGAUUACAUGUAUGAAGUUGUCAAAGAAUAAGUAAAAACUAUUUAAGAAAG